GUAAACUAUUCCCCCUUGGACGACUUUACUGACAACUGGCCUUUUAUCUUGCACAUUGUUAUGUGAAGGUCCUAUCACAUAACUACUGAGCUAAAUCUUUGACAGCAAGCUCAAAGGUAGGAAAGCCAGGCAGUUUGCAUGUAGGGGCCCAGGGAAUUUAAAGGCAGGAUGUUUGUUUUUAGGUGAGAAUAGAAGAGCAGAUAAUGGGUAGAAUAGCCUAGCCAUUCUCUAGAGAAAUGAUGCUUCCAAAUUUUGGAAGAAGUUGGAAGGCUUCUGGUUGGUUGGUGAUGAGAAGGAGGGAAAGACAGAUCGUUGAUGUAGCUGCUUGUGUAUAUUGGCUCUGCCUUCUAUUAGGGCUGAGUUGGAGGAUGUGCAGCUUGGGAAGCUAAGGCAUCAAAUCCACCUGGAUUUGUGUCUCCUUUCAUCUCUACUGUUUGUACCUCUGAAAUCAAGCCUCCAAAAUCAAGAUCCUUUGUGUGGAGGGGAAGGGGGGGAGGUUUCUAAAAAUGGACAAGCAUACUUGGAAACUUUUGCAAUAUAAUACUAGUAUUUAUUAGAAUAUUAUUAUGUUUAUGGUGUUUUUACUUGCCUAGAUAGAGUCAGAAAUCCCUGAGCUCAGAAUAAUGCUGAGAUAAGGACUGGUCAGUAAUGAAUAGUUAUCCUUUCGAUUUAAGGAUGGCACAGUAAAGGGAAGUUUUUGAGUGCUGGUAUACUUAAAGUUCCCAACUAUAAAGAAUUAUAUUUUCCUCAUUAAAAAUUUUUGUUGCAUUUGGAGCUGUCUUGGGUACAAUCAUAUGAAGCUGACUUUAAACUGAAAAACAAUUCACAGGCCGCAUUUUUUCAUGUUCUACGUCCAGAACCUUUCUGAACUCCCAUGAGCCUUCGCAACUGAAGUAGUGGUUUGCAUGAUUUGCGCUCAGCAAGCGAAACAAAUGCAAAGCGAGCAAAACCACAGCUGUUGUCGGAAUGUGCCACGCCGCGGGACAGGCACGAGAGUGGGCAGGGAUCCUUCGGGAAGCUGCUUCGCUGUAACUUGGGUUUGAGAAUUGCUCUUACGAGGUCAGCAGUGAGUGUGCGUGUGGUGGAAGUGCGGGGAUGGAAAACAGCCUCUCUAAAAGCUGCAGCGGGCUCUCGGGAAUGUGAAAUAGGGAAGAGAUUACUUAAAUGCAACGGAUAAACGCCACCACAAGGGAGCUUCGGACUCUCGGUAGGCGGCAGGGCCUGCUAAAGAUUAUCGCAUCGCGCCAUCUCCUGAGCAAGCCCUGCACUGCAGCCCAGUGAGCCGAACCGGGAGUCACGGGGCGGAGCUCCGCGCUCAGCGCGCCCUGGGCCUUCCCGUAUCCGACCUGCUGGCACGGAAGGCUCGGGUUAUGAGAGGGGCAGCGCUAAACGGAAGGAAUGUGGAAGUGCCUUCUGUUUAGACUUCAGGCUGAAAUAAAUGCAGGCAUCUGUCCCAGGAAAGAACUACAUACCCCAGAGGACUUUGCAUUUAGAGAGGGGAUAUAAGCUUUCGUGGAUCACCCGACCUGCCCUUUUUCAGCUCUCUCAUCCCCACUUCUUGACCCGAGUGCGCAUCUCACCUCAGCAUUAUGCUCAGCUUUGGACAUUUGACUGAGAUGCAGGUAGUCCAUAAUGUAUGCCCGGAAGAAAGAAGCCCUCCAGCACUGUGUCAGUUAGCAGGAGUUUCUGGUAUUUCUGUGAUUGUGUCAGAUGGCAUUAUUUCCAGAAAAGACCCUUGAUGAACCAUAGAAAUAAAUGCAGAGCAGAAAUAUCUGUUACUGAUGAGAUACGUGCAUACAGAUGAGCUUUGGAAAUGGAAGUUAGCCCUCUUUUUCUCUUUGAUUAAAGUUGAUACUUCCAGUUGUAUACGUUAGUUGUAAGAAUUCUUGAGAUAGCAAAGAGAGAGCUGUUGCAGUGUAUUAAAUCAUUUUGCAAAUACAUUACCAGUGAGAUGUUCUUAGAAAAAAAAUUAAGCUCAGCAAGCCUCCUGAAAUUAAACUUCUGCUGAAAUUAAUUGGCAAUAUCCAACUGGUAUAAUUUAGCAUGUCACAACUGUAAAUUCAGACAGCCACUGUUGGUUUGUUAUUACCAGUUUAAAAGGCUGUUUACAUCAAAUUGUUUUCAGGUCUCAAUUUUAACAUUGAGGAUCAUGAGGUAAUUGUACUCUGCUUUGGGCCAUAUUUCAUGGUACUUGAUACAGUUGGAGUGACAAUGUUUGGCCCUUUGGCUUACUGAGUUUCCUGAAUUAAGUUAUCAGUAGUACCUCUCUUUAGUGAGUAGUUGAUGGCUUUAAUACGUUCUUGAUACAGCCAACAUUUAAGAUUACAUUAUGACUAUCACUUACUAGCACAACUUAAAUGCAAAAUAAAUUAACUUUAAAUAACAAAGUCUAUAGUUGUGCUAGCAUUAAUGUGGAAUUAAUGAACAGAGGAAAAAUAUACCUACUGAAUUCUAUUGCUUUAAAAUACAAGAUUCAACUAAGCACUGAAACAAACAGUAAAGUCUGGUGUGUAAUUGCCUCUAGAUCAUUGAUAGUGGUUGAUUUUUUUUAAAUGCUUUAUUUCAUAAUGUUAUGGUUCAUGUUAAUGAGAAUGUCAUGUGAGAAACCAGUGAGAAAAGAAAAGCUAUUUGACUGUUUUCUUAAUAAAUUCUUCUUGCUGAUCACGUUAGGUGUUUCAUUCCUUCUGAAAUUGCUUUCUGUAUGCUGGAAUAUACCUCAUUGUUUUUCUGCCUGACACAAACCUAAUCAUUCUGGCUUGGAGACCUCUCUCUUAGGUACUAACAGUUAUAUGUUGUAGAAGAGGCAUUUCUGUACUGCGGGGGUAUAUAGUCUUCCUGAAAAUAAUACAUAUUUUAUCUUUUUAAGGACAAUGCAAAUAAUUUAUAUAUUAGGAUCUUUAAUCACAUAGUCUUCACAGAUUUUGUAGAGUGCAAGAAGCGUAAUAAAAAUGUGAAGAUUACUCUGUUUUUUUUUUUCUUAUUGCAGUAUAACAAUUUUCUUUCUGCAAUGAUCUGCAGUUGUCUUCUUACCUACCUCUAAUGUGGAGAAUUUUUUAUCUGAAGUAUUUUAUUUCUGUCCAUACUUUGAAUAAUGCUGCACAGAACUGUUGAUAUUACAUUUUCAGUUUUCUUUUAUUUUUUAGGGUUUUUUUUUUACAUCAUUACAUGCUUCUGAUACAUUAGCUGUGCUCAGAAACUUCUAAUUUACUUUUAAGUUUGUAAAUGUAUAUGUUCUAUAUUGACUAAAUUAUGUGAAUGUAUGUAUUGCACUAACUCAGAACUUAAUGUCUUAAUGAUUCAGGGUAAUGCACUGCAUAUCAUCUCUUCAUUCUGAAUAUUCUUCCUUUAAAAACGAAAGUGAGGAAUAUUAUACUCUGCCCAUCUUAUAAAAUUGAGGAUGCCAGAAACAGUCAGCUACUGGGGAAAACAUUUGGAGAUAUUCCCAGAUUUGUAUUUUAUGUUUAUUCAGAUGAAUUUUUAGUGACCCAUAGAAUAUAAUCAUUCACGGGAACAUCUGCCUGCUUCAAAAUGAUUCCCGGAAGACUGGGUUUUUACAAUAUAAAAGCAUAAAACACACAUUUAUUUCUUCAAAAUAGAACAAUUUGAUACAUAGCUGCAAUUUGUUUUUAAGCAGAGGAAAAGGAGAGAAAGAAUUAAGAAAUUAUUCUUCAGUAUAAUUUUUAUCUAACAUGAAUUACUUGAACAUCCUAUCAUUAGGUAUAAAUGAAUCAUCACCCUUAGUGCUAUUAACUAAGACAAUCACAAGUUUAAUUCCAAGAGCUGUUAAUCUGGUAGAGACGUGGACAAAAUCACAGGUGCUUUUUUUCUGGUUCUUGAAGAAAAUGCAGAAUCCAAACUGCACCAUAAGUACUUGGUCUCUACUGCAGUAGAUCUUAGCAUUCAGUGGACGGACUUUUUUGGACUUAGCCAUUGAUUCUCAGAUUGUCAGUCACAGUCAAGGAAUCUUGUUGCAAUCUCCUUCAUUCACUGACUUUGAUCUAUACUGAGUAACAUGAGCUACUCUGCAACACAGCAAUUACUUUUAAUUGAAUUUUUCUAAAUCACAGCAUCACCUAAGAUGAUAUUAGUACUUGCUACCAUUUGCACUUACCUCCAUUUGCAGUUACCUCCAGAACACUUCAGGUACAUUAAUCUGAAAAAAUGUUUCCCAGACUUGCUAACAUGCACAGAUGAGCUUUCUGGUGUUCAGAGAAUUUUUACUGG
Non-coding RNA from Meleagris gallopavo (turkey), 4224 nucleotides. Lineage: Eukaryota; Metazoa; Chordata; Aves; Galliformes; Phasianidae. The record is from RefSeq and is a predicted model, not a curated record.